Molecule: long non-coding RNA, 1415 nt
Organism: Amphiprion ocellaris (clown anemonefish)
Lineage: Eukaryota; Metazoa; Chordata; Actinopteri; Pomacentridae
Source: Ensembl
UGUUAACCUUGUUUUUGGAGUAAAACACGGUGGAAGCUGAAUUAGUGAGGAUGACUCCUGCUCCUGUCAUCUCUAAGCUCCUCACACAUCUUUACCUGCACAUGAGGAAAAUCACUCCUGUAGAAUGCAGAUGUUCAGAGGGAGAUGAUGCCACAUCUGGUCCAGCUGAUGGAAGGUCUUGAAGUUCUCUGACUGGCCUUGACUGAAGAUGGUCGUCUCACUGGAUUUAAGGUUCAGAUGCUCAGUAACAAACUCCACCAAUGAGCCAGCAGGGAAGCUUUAGGUUUAUUAAAUGUUGCUAUGAAGGUUUCGCUGUUUUUCUUUGUGAAUGCAAUGUGCUCCAACUGAAACUUGAAUUAGAACGUAGAAGUAAAUCCUUCGAUCUGAAAGGAUUUAGUUGCAUUAAUGACCUCAUAACAUUCUAAUGUUUAUUCCAGUCUUAGUUGGAAAUACAAUCUCUGUAUUGAUUCAGGUAAAAACUGAACUUCACAGCAUGUUGGAGCAAAACAACCAGAUGAAAACUGUGAUGGUGUUGGAUUGUCAGACUGUAAUGUUGCAGCUCAAAGCAGCUUUUCUAUCUCAGUUCAUUCUGACAUUCAGCUAUGAAUCAACACAGCAGAUGGUGAUCCAUGCUGUGGAAGUCUCACAUCUCCUGAUUUAAUGGAGCUGCUUUGCACUUUUUACACUGUUUAUUCACCAACACUUUAUUUAAUAAAAGUCCCAUCUAGUUUUCAUGAGGAAUGUGAUGUUUUAAUUUCUCUGUGAAUAACUGCAGUCUAAUGCAACAGCUGGAGUUGUAACAUCUGUCCUGAUAUUGAUCAUGAAGUAUUGAUCAGAAUACUUAUGGUUUGCAGUCAUCCCUGAAGUUUUACAUUAAAAUCUUUACUUGUGUUGUGAACUUUGGUAAGAAGCAGAAACGUUAGUGUUGCCAUGGAUACAUGAGUGUUAAAUUCUGUCCAUGUUUCAUUUUGGGAAAUGCAGUCCAGUUCCAGAAUUUGGAGGAAUUUAGUCUCACGAUCACAGACAACAAAUAUUAUCUGAAAGUCGGGUUAUUGUUGUUUAUCAGCACAAUACAAAAAGAUUAAUGUUAGAAAUAUUCCAGUUAAGACUCUAGAAUAUCAUGAUUUAUGUAAAUUUACCUCAAUAAUAUGAAUGUUCAGGUUAAGAUUGUACAGUGAUAUUUAUUAUGUAAGUUUAGCUGAUUAAAGUUUAUGACUCUGCACUAAAAUAUUAUUUAAAUUGACAUCAUUAUUAUAAUAUUUAGGGUCAGACCCUACAGUAUUGAGAUUAAGAAAUCAAAUAUUCUAUAAAAUGUAAAUACACUGAACUCAUUUGGAUAUAUUUAAGUGAGACUCUACAAUAUUAUUUGACACAAAUCUGUCUAAGUCAAAAUUUUAAUAAUUUUCACACCAAAC